CAGCAGCCACGGUAAUACGAACCGUGCGAACGUUAUUCGGAAUCACUGGGCAUAAAGCGCGUGUAGGCGGGAGGGCACGUCCGUCGCUGAAAUCCCCCGGCUCAACCGGGGAACGGGCGCGGAUACGACUCUUCUGGAGGAACGUAGGGGGACCUGGAACUUCCGGUGGAGCGGUGAAAUGCGUUGAGAUCGGAAGGAACGCCCGUGGCGAAAGCGAGGUCCUGGACGUUUACUGACGCUGAGACGCGAAAGCCAGGGGAGCGAACGGGAUUAGAUACCCGCGUAGUCCCUGUCUCUUAUA
RNAcentral lists this ribosomal RNA (301 nucleotides) under uncultured bacterium. Its description in RNAcentral is "partial 16S ribosomal RNA". It matches the Rfam family "Bacterial small subunit ribosomal RNA", at positions 509 to 807 of the family's 1533-position model. The record is from RNAcentral.